RNAcentral lists this ribosomal RNA (253 nucleotides) under uncultured bacterium. RNAcentral describes it as "partial 16S ribosomal RNA". It matches the Rfam family "Bacterial small subunit ribosomal RNA", at positions 524 to 776 of the family's 1533-position model. The record is from RNAcentral. RNAcentral also lists the same sequence under 2 other names.
UACGGAGGGUGCAAACGUUGCUCGGAAUCAUUGGGCGUAAAGCGCACGUAGGCGGUCCGUUAUGUCGGGUGUGAAAGCCCUCGGCUUAACCGAGGAAGUGCAUUCGAAACUGGCGGACUUGAGUACCGGAGAGGGUCGCGGAAUUCCCGGUGUAGAGGUGAAAUUCGUAGAUAUCGGGAGGAACACCAGUGGCGAAGGCGGCGACCUGGACGGAUACUGACGCUGAGGUGCGAAAGCGUGGGGAGCAAACAGG